This 23-nucleotide non-coding RNA is filed under the name Arabidopsis thaliana (thale cress). The record is from RNAcentral. Lineage: Eukaryota; Viridiplantae; Streptophyta; Magnoliopsida; Brassicales; Brassicaceae.
GGCAUAUCGCACAACUCCUAGGC